UACGUAGGGGCCAAGCGUUGUCCGGAUUUACUGGGCGUAAAGGGCGCGUAGGCGGCCAGCACAAGUCAGUUGUGAAAUCUCCGGGCUUAACUCGGAAAGGUCAACUGAUACUGUGCGGCUAGAGUGCAGAAGGGGCAACUGGAAUUCUCGGUGUAGCGGUGAAAUGCGUAGAUAUCGAGAGGAACACCUGCGGCGAAGGCGGGUUGCUGGGCUGACACUGACGCUGAUGCGCGAAAGCCAGGGGAGCGAACGGG
This 254-nucleotide ribosomal RNA is filed under the name uncultured bacterium. RNAcentral describes it as "partial 16S ribosomal RNA". It matches the Rfam family "Bacterial small subunit ribosomal RNA", at positions 524 to 776 of the family's 1533-position model. The record is from RNAcentral.